Molecule: ribosomal RNA, 309 nt
Filed under: uncultured eukaryote
Lineage: Eukaryota
Description: partial 18S ribosomal RNA
Rfam family: Eukaryotic small subunit ribosomal RNA
Source: RNAcentral
CCCUUAGAUGUUCUGGGCGGCCCGCGCACUACAUUGGCACUAGCAAAGAUAUCCUAGAUUGAAUUCUUUGGGGUAUUCUUCUAAAUGGUGUCGUGACUGGGAUAAAUCCUUGUAAUUAUUGGUUUUGAACGAGGAAUUCCUUGUAAUCGCGGUUUAUCAGCUCGCGUUGAAUGCGUCCCUGCCCUUUGUACACACCGCCCGUCGCUCCUACCGAUGGAUCGUCCGGUGAAGCUCACGGAGUGACUGUUCACGCAACGGUUUACGAAGUGAAAUGGACCUCACGAUUUAGAGGAAGGAGAAGUCGUAACA